Molecule: small nucleolar RNA, 103 nt
Organism: Lemur catta (Ring-tailed lemur)
Lineage: Eukaryota; Metazoa; Chordata; Mammalia; Primates; Lemuridae
Product: small nucleolar RNA U13
Exons: 1
Source: RefSeq, a predicted model, not a curated record
AUCCUUUGUAGUUCAUAAGUGUGAUGACUGGGUUUUCAUACCCAUGUGUGGAAUGUGCCUCCCUCAAACCUUAUUACGACAUUGUCACAUUACCCAUCUAAUG